GGGUGAACCUGCGGAGGGAUCAUUACCGAGUUUACAACUCCCAAACCCAAUGUGAACGUUACCAAACUGUUGCCUCGGCGGGAUCUCUGCCCCGGGUGCGUCGCAGCCCCGGACCAAGGCGCCCGCCGGAGGACCAACCAAAACUCUUUUUGUAUACCCCCUCGCGGGUUUUUUAUAAUCUGAGCCUUCUCGGCGCCUCUCGUAGGCGUUUCGAAAAUGAAUCAAAACUUUCAACAACGGAUCUCUUGGUUCUGGCAUCGAUGAAGAACGCAGCGAAAUGCGAUAAGUAAUGUGAAUUGCAGAAUUCAGUGAAUCAUCGAAUCUUUGAACGCACAUUGCGCCCGCCAGUAUUCUGGCGGGCAUGCCUGUCCGAGCGUCAUUUCAACCCUCGAACCCCUCCGGGGGGUCGGCGUUGGGGAUCGGCCCUGCCUCUUGGCGGUGGCCGUCUCCGAAAUACAGUGGCGGUCUCGCCGCANCCUCUCCGGCGCAGUAGUUUGCACACUCGCAUCGGGAGCGCGGCGCGUCCACAGCCGUUAAACACCCAACUUCUGAAAUGUUGACCUCGGAUCAAGUAGGAAUACC
Molecule: ribosomal RNA, 582 nt
Filed under: Trichoderma harzianum
Lineage: Eukaryota; Fungi; Ascomycota; Sordariomycetes; Hypocreales; Hypocreaceae
Description: eukaryotic LSU rRNA
Rfam family: 5.8S ribosomal RNA (bases 226-379)
Source: RNAcentral